GCCGGCAGCAGCUCUCGGCAACUCUCACAUGGUCGCCCACUGAAGCUAAGCAGGGCUGCGCCUGGUCAGUACCUGGAUGGGAGACCACAUGGGAAAGUGAGGUUGCUGUCGGAU
Molecule: ribosomal RNA, 114 nt
Filed under: Danio rerio (zebrafish)
Lineage: Eukaryota; Metazoa; Chordata; Actinopteri; Cypriniformes; Danionidae
Source: RNAcentral